Molecule: ribosomal RNA, 466 nt
Filed under: uncultured soil bacterium
Lineage: Bacteria
Description: bacterial SSU rRNA
Rfam family: Bacterial small subunit ribosomal RNA
Source: RNAcentral
AGAACGAACGCUGGCGGCAUGCCUAAUACAUGCAAGUCGAACGAGACCUUCGGGUCUAGUGGCGCACGGGUGCGUAACGCGUGGGAAUCUGCCCUUGGGUUCGGAAUAACAGCGAGAAAUUGCUGCUAAUACCGGAUGAUGACGUAAGUCCAAAGAUUUAUCGCCCAAGGAUGAGCCCGCGUAGGAUUAGCUUGUUGGUGAGGUAAGAGCUCACCAAGGCGACGAUCCUUAGCUGGUCUGAGAGGAUGAUCAGCCACACUGGGACUGAGACACGGCCCAGACUCCGUACGGGAGGCAGCAGGUAGGGGAAUAGUUAGGACAAGUGGGACGAAAGCCUGAUCCAGCAAUGCCGCGUGAGUGAGUGAAGGUCCGUUAGGGUUAGUAAAGUCUACGUUUUACCCGGAUAGGAUAAUGACAGGUACCGGAGAAUAACGCGUACCGGACUAACCGUCCGACGCCGAGCCGA